GGGUGAUGUGGCUGUGACAUAUGUUACCUCGCUGAUUACCAGGUUGAUUGAGCUGAUCUGGCUGGCUAGAUGGGUGUCCAUUUCCCUCCUCACUGCUCCAUGUGCAUCCCUCCUGAAGCACGCUAGGUCGAAGAGGACAACCACACCCAACAAAGGAUAUUUCCUUGGUCAAGGGUGUAUGAGUAGCUGUACUCCCCUGCUAGAACCUCCAAACUAUCAUAUCAAUAACUAUUAUCAUAUUGCCAUUAAGAAGUUGUUGGCAUUUCCACUUGUGUUCCUGAGU
This 283-nucleotide small nuclear RNA is filed under the name Chinchilla lanigera (long-tailed chinchilla). Its description in RNAcentral is "7SK RNA (ENSCLAG00000022178.1)". It matches the Rfam family "7SK RNA". From Rfam's summary of the family: 7SK was discovered as an abundant small nuclear RNA in the mid-70s but a possible function has only recently been suggested. Two independent studies have found that 7SK RNA binds the CDK9/cyclin T complex (known as elongation factor P-TEFb). P-TEFb activates transcription by phosphorylating the C-terminal domain of RNA polymerase II. Lineage: Eukaryota; Metazoa; Chordata; Mammalia; Rodentia; Chinchillidae. The record is from Rfam by way of RNAcentral.